Molecule: ribosomal RNA, 497 nt
Filed under: uncultured bacterium
Lineage: Bacteria
Description: partial 16S ribosomal RNA
Rfam family: Bacterial small subunit ribosomal RNA
Source: RNAcentral
GAUGAACGCUGGCGGCGUGCCUAAUACAUGCAAGUCGAGCGAACGGACGAGAGGCUUGCUUCUCUGAUGUUAGCGGCGGAUGGGUGAGUAACACGUGGAUAACCUACCUAUAAGACUGGGAUAACUUCGGGAAACCGGAGCUAAUACCGGAUAAUAUUUUGAACCGCAUGGUUCAAAAGUGAAAGACGGUCUUGCUGUCACUUAUAGAUGGAUCCGCGCUGCAUUAGCUAGUUGGUAAGGUAACGGCUUACCAAGGCAACGAUGCAUAGCCGACCUGAGAGGGUGAUCGGCCACACUGGAACUGAGACACGGUCCAGACUCCUACGGGAGGCAGCAGUAGGGAAUCUUCCGCAAUGGGCGAAAGCCUGACGGAGCAACGCCGCGUGAGUGAUGAAGGUCUUCGGAUCGUAAAACUCUGUUAUUAGGGAAGAACAUAUGUGUAAGUAACUGUGCACAUCUUGACGGUACCUAAUCAGAAAGCCACGGCUAACUACGUG